GGCUUCACCGAGUGGUCCGUCGCUUCGGCGGCGAGUACUGCUUCUCAGGUGAAGCCUUUCCUCCUGGGGAACCUUGUUGACGGGGUGGCUCUCGGGCCCUCCGUUCUUGGCGAGCCAGGACGUUUACCUUGAAAAAAUUAGAGUGUUCAAAGCAGGCGCACGCUUGCAUAGAUUAGCAUGGAAUAAUGGAAUAGGACCUGUGGUCUUGUUUUGUUGGUUAGGGAGACCGCGGUAAUGAUUAAUAGGGAUAGUUG
This 254-nucleotide ribosomal RNA is filed under the name uncultured Ambispora. Its description in RNAcentral is "partial 18S ribosomal RNA". The stretch from base 103 to 254 matches the Rfam family "Eukaryotic small subunit ribosomal RNA", at positions 731 to 884 of the family's 1831-position model. Lineage: Eukaryota; Fungi; Glomeromycota; Glomeromycetes; Archaeosporales; Ambisporaceae. The record is from RNAcentral.